GGGCCCAUAGCUCAGCGGUUAGAGCCCCCGGCUCAUAACCGGGUUGUCCCUGGUUCGAAUCCAGGUGGGCCCA
This 73-nucleotide transfer RNA is filed under the name Anaerolineae bacterium SM23_84. RNAcentral's name for it is "tRNA-Met". It matches the Rfam family "tRNA". Rfam says of the family: Transfer RNA (tRNA) molecules are approximately 80 nucleotides in length. Their secondary structure includes four short double-helical elements and three loops (D, anti-codon, and T loops). RNAcentral also lists the same sequence under 4 other names. Lineage: Bacteria; Bacillati; Chloroflexota; Anaerolineae. The record is from RNAcentral.